Molecule: ribosomal RNA, 437 nt
Filed under: Pardosa mirzakhaniae
Lineage: Eukaryota; Metazoa; Arthropoda; Arachnida; Araneae; Lycosidae
Description: partial small subunit ribosomal RNA
Source: RNAcentral
UUUUAUUAGAAUUAAUUAAUAAUAAANCCUGCUCAAUGAAANUUAAAUAGCCGCUUUUGUGCUAAGGUAGCAUAAUAAUUUGUCUUUUAAUUAAAGACUAGAACAAAAGGUUUAACAUCUCAAUUAAUAUUUUNUNAAAAACUNUUUAAAUUAUUUUAAUUGUAAAAAAACAAUUUUAAAAAAGAAAGACGAUAAGACCCUAUCGAACUUUACUUUAGUUUAACUGGGGAAGUUAAUUAAUUAUUAUUUUAAUNNNNNNAAANAUACAAUUUGACCUAAUACUAUUAACAANAUAAUNAAGUUACCGUAGGGAUAACAGCGUAAUAAAAUUUUUAAGAUCUUAUUUAAAAUAAAGAUUGCGACCUCGAUGUUGAUUUAAUAACCUAAUUUACGCAAUAGUUGAUUAAGGAAGUCUGUUCGACUUUUAAAAAAUUACA